RNAcentral lists this ribosomal RNA (751 nucleotides) under uncultured bacterium. RNAcentral describes it as "bacterial SSU rRNA". It matches the Rfam family "Bacterial small subunit ribosomal RNA", at positions 28 to 776 of the family's 1533-position model. The record is from RNAcentral.
GAUGAACGCUGGCGGCUUGCCUAACACAUGCAAGUCGAACGGAGUCAUUUUGGAAACCUCUUCGGAACUGGAAUCUAUGACUUAGUGGCGGACGGGUGAGUAACGCGUGAGCAAUCUGCCUUUCAGAGGGGGAUAACAGCCGGAAACGGCUGCUAAUACCGCAUAAUGCAUUGGAUUCGCAUGUUUCUGAUGCCAAAGAUUUUAUCGCUGAAAGAUGAGCUCGCGUCUGAUUAGCUAGUUGGCGGGGUAACGGCCCACCAAGGCGACGAUCAGUAGCCGGACUGAGAGGUUGAACGGCCACAUUGGGACUGAGACACGGCCCAGACUCCUACGGGAGGCAGCAGUGGGGAAUAUUGCGCAAUGGGGGCAACCCUGACGCAGCAACGCCGCGUGAUUGAUGAAGGUCUUCGGAUUGUAAAAAUCUUUAAUCAGGGACGAAGAAAAUGACGGUACCUGAAGAAUAAGCUCCGGCUAACUACGUGCCAGCAGCCGCGGUAAUACGUAGGGAGCAAGCGUUAUCCGGAUUUACUGGGUGUAAAGGGCGUGUAGGCGGGCUUGCAAGUUGGAAGUGAAAUCUCGGGGCUUAACCCCGAAACUGCUUUCAAAACUGCGAGUCUUGAGUGAUGGAGAGGCAGGCGGAAUUCCCAGUGUAGCGGUGAAAUGCGUAGAUAUUGGGAGGAACACCAGUGGCGAAGGCGGCCUGCUGGACAUUAACUGACGCUGAGGCGCGAAAGCGUGGGGAGCAAACAGG